AGAUUGAACGCUGGCGGCAUGCCUUACACAUGCAAGUCGAACGGCAGCACGGGAGCAAUCCUGGUGGCGAGUGGCGAACGGGUGAGUAAUAUAUCGGAACGUGCCCAGUUGUGGGGGAUAGCCCGGCGAAAGCCGGAUUAAUACCGCAUACGACCUACGGGUGAAAGCGGGGGAUCGCAAGACCUCGCGCAAUUGGAGCGGCCGAUAUCAGAUUAGCUAGUUGGUGGGUAAAAGCUCACCAAGGCGACGAUCUGUAGCUGGUCUGAGAGGACGACCAGCCACACCUGGGACUGAGACACGGCCCAGACUCCGUACGGAGGCAGCAGUGGGAAUUUUGGACUAAGUGGGCGCAAGCCUGAUCCAGCCAUCGCCGCGUGUGGGAAGAAGGCCGUUGGUUACGUAAACCUACGUUUUUGUCGUAAGGG
RNAcentral lists this ribosomal RNA (425 nucleotides) under uncultured soil bacterium. RNAcentral's name for it is "bacterial SSU rRNA". It matches the Rfam family "Bacterial small subunit ribosomal RNA", at positions 26 to 449 of the family's 1533-position model. The record is from RNAcentral.